GACGAACGCUGGCGGCGUGCUUAACACAUGCAAGUCGAGCGGUAAGGCCCUUUCGGGGGUACACGAGCGGCGAACGGGUGAGUAACACGUGGGGUGACCUGCCCUCAGCUCUGGGAGUAACGCCUGGGAAACCGGGGUCUAAUACUGGAUAUGACUCCAUGACGCAUGUUGGUGGGGUGGAAAGCCUUGUGCGGCUGAGGAUGGGCCCGCGGCCUAUCAGCUUGGUUGGNGGGGUGAGGCCUACCAAGGCGACGACGGGUAGCCGGCCUGAGAGGGCGACCGGCCACACUGGGACUGAGACACGGGCCCAGA
RNAcentral lists this ribosomal RNA (312 nucleotides) under uncultured bacterium. RNAcentral's name for it is "bacterial SSU rRNA". It matches the Rfam family "Bacterial small subunit ribosomal RNA", at positions 28 to 335 of the family's 1533-position model. The record is from RNAcentral.